GAUGAACGCUAGCUACAGGCUUAACACAUGCAAGUCGAGGGACCGGCGCACGGGUGAGUAACACGUAUCCAACCUGCCCUUUACUCGGGGAUAGCCUUUCGCAAGAAAGAUUAAUACCCGAUAUAAAGUAUGGGGAUGCGUUCCAUUAGGUUGUUGGUGAGGUAACGGCUCACCAAGCCUUCGAUGGCUAGGGGUUCUGAGAGGAAGGUACACCACAAUGGAACUGCGACACGGUCCAAACACGUACGGGAGGGUGCGGAAUGGAGUAUUAGUGAAUGGGCGCUAGCCUGAACCUGCCAAGUGGCGUGAAGGAGGAAGGGGUAUGGGUGGUAAACUACUUGUGUAGAAGGAGAUGUAUUAGAUGAAUAAGGAUCGGCUAACUCCGUGCCAGCAGCCGCGGUAAUUC
RNAcentral lists this ribosomal RNA (406 nucleotides) under uncultured bacterium. RNAcentral's name for it is "partial 16S ribosomal RNA". It matches the Rfam family "Bacterial small subunit ribosomal RNA", at positions 28 to 526 of the family's 1533-position model. The record is from RNAcentral.